GACACCCAGAAGGAGCGGCCAGCAUUCAGGAGCCCAGGGGCGGCCCCUGAGUUGGAGGAGGGAAGGUCGGUUGGUUAUGGGGCAUGGUGCCAGCAGGAGGAAUGGGGUACAAGCUGGACAGCACUGAGGUCAGAAGGUAUGUCCAACCUCCAGCACUCACGGGGAGCCCAUGCAUCCCAGAGGAGAUAUGACAUAUGGUCCAACAUCUCUGCAGAGGACACACCAUCAUGUGACAGUACCAAAAGGUUGGCUACCCCACAUUUGUAGGGGACCUCCCACCUCAGCCUCCCUGGAAUUCUUACACCCUUCAGCCUCAUCAGACUCUUGGGAAAGCCUGGCCUUGCAUGGUUCCUGACCCCCUCAACACCAUACAAUUAGGCUUCAAAGCCUAUGCUACUACAAGGAGGAAUGAGUCCCUGACUCCUGUAAAGCUGUCUUCCUGCAGUGCCAUGUGUCUGGGCCUACUUUACUACCAUUCCGGUCAACCAGCACUGUGAUUACACAUUUACAGGCCCUCCGCUCUUCCUCUAUAGUGGAUCUUUAAGCAAAGGUGUGUGAGUGUGAUUGGCUGUGGUCUAGUCCCUGGUCCCUGGUAAAUACCAGGUUCCUGAUACAUGUGUGUUGAGUUAAUGAAUGUCCCUGGUAAAUGGCAAGUUCCUGAUACAUGUGUGUUGAGUUAAUGAAUUGAUGACUGGGAAAGGGGCCCAAAUAAACGAUCUCUACUAAGG
Long non-coding RNA from Mesocricetus auratus (golden hamster), 728 nucleotides. RefSeq lists it as uncharacterized. The record is from RefSeq and is a predicted model, not a curated record. NCBI's taxonomy places the organism in Eukaryota, Metazoa, Chordata, Mammalia, Rodentia, Cricetidae. The transcript has 2 exons.